UUUUUUUUUUUUUUUUUUUUUUUUUUUUUUUUUUUUUUUUUUUUUUC
This 47-nucleotide non-coding RNA is filed under the name Alexandrium minutum. The record is from RNAcentral. Lineage: Eukaryota; Dinophyceae; Gonyaulacales; Pyrocystaceae.